This 390-nucleotide ribosomal RNA is filed under the name uncultured bacterium. Its description in RNAcentral is "bacterial SSU rRNA". It matches the Rfam family "Bacterial small subunit ribosomal RNA", at positions 28 to 419 of the family's 1533-position model. The record is from RNAcentral.
GACGAACGCUGGCGGCGUGCUUAACACAUGCAAGUCGAGCGGUAAGGCCCUUUCGGGGGUACACGAGCGGCGAACGGGUGAGUAACACGUGGGUGACCUGCCCUCAGCUCUGGGAUAAGCCUGGGAAACCGGGUCUAAUACUGGAUAUGACUCCAUGACGCAUGUUGUGGGGUGGAAAGCCUUGUGCGGCUGAGGAUGGGCCCGCGGCCUAUCAGCUUGUUGGUGGGGUGAUGGCCUACCAAGGCGACGACGGGUAGCCGGCCUGAGAGGGCGACCGGCCACACUGGGACUGAGACACGGCCCAGACUCCUACGGGAGGCAGCAGUGGGGAAUCUUGCGCAAUGGGCGAAAGCCUGACGCAGCGACGCCGCGUGAGGGAUGACGGCCUGC